GAUGAACGCUGGCGGCGUGCCUAAUACAUGCAAGUCGAGCGAACAGAUGAGGAGCUUGCUCCUCUGACGUUAGCGGCGGACGGGUGAGUAACACGUGGAUAACCUACCUAUAAGACUGGGAUAACUUCGGGAAACCGGAGCUAAUACCGGAUAAUAUAUUGAACCGCAUGGUUCAAUAGUGAAAGACGGUUUUGCUGUCACUUAUAGAUGGAUCCGCGCCGCAUUAGCUAGUUGGUAAGGUAACGGCUUACCAAGGCAACGAUGCGUAGCCGACCUGAGGGGGUGAUCGGCCACACUGGAACUGAGACACGGUCCAGACUCCUACGGGAGGCAGCAGUAGGGAAUCUUCCGCAAUGGGCGAAAGCCUGACGGAGCAACGCCGCGUGAGUGAUGAAGGUCUUCGGAUCGUAAAACUCUGUUAUUAGGGAAGAACGAAUGUGUAAGUAACUAUGCACGUCUUGACGGUACCUAAUCAGAAAGCCACGGCUAACUACGUG
This 497-nucleotide ribosomal RNA is filed under the name uncultured bacterium. Its description in RNAcentral is "partial 16S ribosomal RNA". It matches the Rfam family "Bacterial small subunit ribosomal RNA", at positions 28 to 507 of the family's 1533-position model. The record is from RNAcentral.